GAACAGUGACUAAACAUGCAGUAAUUGCAAACAGCAGCCUCCUUGGUAGAGCAGGCGGCCUGUUGCCUAAGGGAUCUUGGAGACAGUC
The sequence is a small nucleolar RNA, 88 nucleotides long. Its record names the gene SNORA70. It matches the Rfam family "Small nucleolar RNA SNORA70". Rfam says of the family: snoRNA U70 seems to be exclusive to mammals and is a member of the H/ACA class of snoRNA which contain H (ANANNA) and ACA box motifs. The record is from Ensembl.